Stomoxys calcitrans (stable fly) is the source of this 140-nucleotide non-coding RNA. The record is from Rfam. Lineage: Eukaryota; Metazoa; Arthropoda; Insecta; Diptera; Muscidae.
CCGUUCUUGUGUUAUUUGUUGAUUGUCCUCUUAAAAAUCAAUGAUUGUCAAAAAGAACGCAUAUUAAUUUAGGCAACAACUCGUUAUUGUCUGCACUAAUCUAGGAAAGUGUAGACAUAUUCCAUUUGUUGUUUACAAUU